This 478-nucleotide ribosomal RNA is filed under the name uncultured bacterium. RNAcentral's name for it is "partial 16S ribosomal RNA". It matches the Rfam family "Bacterial small subunit ribosomal RNA", at positions 28 to 523 of the family's 1533-position model. The record is from RNAcentral.
GACGAACGCUGGCGGCGUGCUUAACACAUGCAAGUCGAACGGUAAGGCCCUUCGGGGUACACGAGUGGCGAACGGGUGAGUAACACGUGGGUGAUCUGCCCUGCACUUCGGGAUAAGCCUGGGAAACUGGGUCUAAUACCGGAUAGGACUCCUGGCUUCAUGGUUGGGGGUGGAAAGCUUUUGCGGUGUGGGAUGGGCCCGCGGCCUAUCAGCUUGUUGGUGGGGUAAUGGCCUACCAAGGCGACGACGGGUAGCCGGCCUGAGAGGGUGACUGGUCAGACUGGGACUGAGAUACUGCCCAGACUCCUACGGGAGGCAGCAGUGGGGAAUAUUGCACAAUGGGCGCAAGCCUGAUGCAGCGACGCCGCGUGAGGGAUGACGGCCUUCGGGUUGUAAACCUCUUUCAGCUAUGACGAAGCGCAAGUGACGGUAGUAGCAGAAGAAGGACCGGCCAACUACGUGCCAGCCGCCGCCGUAA